RNAcentral lists this ribosomal RNA (352 nucleotides) under uncultured bacterium. Its description in RNAcentral is "bacterial SSU rRNA". It matches the Rfam family "Bacterial small subunit ribosomal RNA", at positions 976 to 1326 of the family's 1533-position model. The record is from RNAcentral.
UAGCCUUGACAUUGAUUGAACGGACCAGAGAUGGACCGGUGCCCUUCGGGGAACAUGAAAACAGGUGCUGCACGGCUGUCGUCAGCUCGUGUCGUGAGAUGUUGGGUUAAGUCCCGCAACGAGCGCAACCCUCGUCCUUAGUUGCCAGCAGGUUAAGCUGGGCACUCUAAGGAGACUGCCUUCGUAAGGAGGAGGAAGGUGAGGACGACGUCAAGUCAUCAUGGCCCUUAUGGCUAGGGCUACACACGUGCUACAAUGGGGCGUACAGAAAGUUGCGAUACCGCGAGGUGGAGCCAAUCUCAUAAAGCGUCUCUCAGUUCGGAUUGAAGUCUGCAACUCGACUUCAUGAAGC